AAAGCAACUGGGAUUACCUUAGUAACGGCGAGUGAAGCGGUAAAAGCUCAAAUUUGAAAUCUGGUACUUUCAGUGCCCGAGUUGUAAUUUGUAGAAUUUGUCUUUGAUUAGGUCCUUGUCUAUGUUCCUUGGAACAGGACGUCAUAGAGGGUGAGAAUCCCGUUUGGCGAGGAUACCUUUUCUCUGUAAGACUUUUUCGAAGAGUCGAGUUGUUUGGGAAUGCAGCUCAAAGUGGGUGGUAAAUUCCAUCUAAAGCUAAAUAUUGGCGAGAGACCGAUAGCGAACAAGUACAGUGAUGGAAAGAUGAAAAGAACUUUGAAAAGAGAGUGAAAAAGUACGUGAAAUUGUUGAAAGGGAAGGGCAUUUGAUCAGACAUGGUGUUUUUUAAUGUGCAAGUCUCUCGUGGACAUGUGCCUCUGGAAAUUAACACUGGGCCAACAUCAGUUCUGGCGGCAGGAUAAAUCAUUAAGAAUGUAGCUACCUUGGUAGUGUUAUAGCUUUUUGGAAUACUGCC
RNAcentral lists this ribosomal RNA (514 nucleotides) under uncultured Hanseniaspora. RNAcentral's name for it is "eukaryotic LSU rRNA". It matches the Rfam family "Eukaryotic large subunit ribosomal RNA", at positions 62 to 575 of the family's 3401-position model. The record is from RNAcentral. Lineage: Eukaryota; Fungi; Ascomycota; Saccharomycetes; Saccharomycodales; Saccharomycodaceae.